UGUUACGUGCUAUUUUUGGUUUAUGGAAAUGGCAGUUUUAAACAAACACAAAUUAAAUUAAACGUCAAUUCUGCUUUGCAAUCGAACACGCAAAAUUUAGUGGGCAAUAAAAUGCGCCUUGCUUUACUGAUAUAUUGAUAUAUUUUCUUUUAAAAAGUGAGUUAUUUAGUGAAAGUGAUUUAGCAUGUUGGCGAAUACCGAUUUAUGUACAUUGGAAUUUAUCAUUCAAUUGAUCUGCUUCCUUAGUUUAAUUCAUUUAUUUUUGGAGUUUUCAGAAAUAUUUGUUACGACAACAAUCUUUCUCUUCUGAACAUUGAACGGGCAAAUUUUUCAUCUCGCUGUUGCCGCAUCCAGAUCAAGAACACAAAUAUCUCCAAAUUUACUUUCUGGGAGAUUCACAUGAUGAAGUAAAUCGGCGUUGUGGUAUCUUCAAUACAACGAAAAGAGAAAUAAUCGAACAAUUGCAGCAAAUGUUACACGAACACAAUGGCCUCAUUAAACUGUUUACGAUUUCGUUGGAACGUAUGCCAACAGAUGAUCAUAGUAUAAUCAUACAAGCGGACAAAAGACCAACAGGGACACAUGAAAGACAAUAUAAUGCACCUACAGUUGGCGAAAUAUCAGUUGUUGUUGUUGGAGAAAAUUUGCAGUCGCGUAAUAUUGUUAUCAAACGUAGAAAUCAAAACGCACUAAAACGGAUAAGUGAGACACAUCGGUCUUACGACGCAAUGCAAUAUCCGCUCAUGUUCUGCCGUGGAGAAGACGGAUAUCACAUAGGAUAUAAGAUGAUAAAUCCGGUGAAUGGUGUCGAGACAAAUAAAAAAGUCAGUUCAAUGAAGUUUUACGCAUAUCGAAUGAUGAUUCGCCAAAACUAUGACAACCACUUACUGAGAUAUGAACGGUUAUUUCAACAGUAUUUUUAUUUUUGAUCUAAAUAUAUAAAAAUCAAAAAUAACUCUUAUUUUUUGAUUUUUUUGAUAAAAGUCAUAAGAGUUACGGUCCCUGUUUUUCAAUAUUGGGAAUUUGUCAAGGCCAAAAAAGGUGGUAUUUAAAGUAUACACAAUGAAAUUAGGAAAAAUCGUUCAUAUUCUACUAAAACCAAUACCGGUGUAAUUUUUGAAAUGAAAAAAAAAUCUAUUUUGGGCAGAACGAAGUUUAUCGGGUCAGCUAGUGAAUUCAUAAAUAUCUUGCUAUGAUUAUGAUUUUCUAUAAGAUAAUUCAAGAAUUUAAUCAAUAUGUUUUGUAUAUUUAAAUUUAACGAAAUUUGAUCGAGAAGUGGCUGGAUGUUAGGUAAAUCAAAAAAAAAGAAGCUCGACCAAAAUUAUUUAUGAAGGUGUAAAUUGUGUGUGACCUAAUGGUCUCUGAUGCUAUCAAACUCUAUAGGUAUGUAUAUUUGCUUAUUUGUAUUACUCAGCAGAUUCCUAAUGUCUACCGUGAUCUUUUUCAAAAGAAAUUGGAAAGAUGUUGAUACAUGAUAGUCAUGUAAAUGACGGCAGGCUGUAUCGUAGAUAAUUAUAUAUAUGUAUGUAUUUAUGUAAGUAUUUUUAAUUCAUUAAGGUGGAGGUACAAUUGAUGGGAAUUUUACAUAUAAUAUAUAAUUUUUAUAAUGAAUAACCUUUACAAGAAUUACACAAAAUUAAAAAAAUAUUACAUAUCGCUCAUUUACUUGAAUAGUGUCACAACUCAAAAAAGUCGAUUUUUCAGGAGAGCGAUUUAAAGUUUUCAAUUGUCUCUUAUUUAGCAAAUGUGGAAAAAUUCCAUAACUUUAAUAACAAAUCUAGUGGCGUGUAAUAUAUUCAAUCCAAUGUUGAGCAUAAAUGGACCAAAUAGAGUGUACUAAUGCUUUUUCUUGGACAUGAACGUGAGCCAUGUUGAAUUAUGUCGUUAUUUGUGAAAAAAUAAUUCAAUUUCGCCGUCAUAAGUCAAAUGUGUCGUUUUCUGCAUACUCAACUCAAAAAACACGAUUUUUGAGUUGUGACACUAUUCAAGUAAAUGAGCGAUAUAUGCUUUCAGCAACCUUUUAAGGUACUUAGCCUUAAUAAAAUAAUAAUAACAAGUAAGGAAAGGCAAGUUCGAGUGCAACCGAACAUUUUAUACUCUGGCAAUUUAUUGCUAUAUUUUUAUUAAGAUAACACACAAUUUGACCAAUACAUUCGGUAUAAAGUCCAAUAGAAAAACGAAAAUAAUCAUAUAUGGUAAUUCCUGAGCCGAUUAAAUUCAUUUAAUAUUAUAUCUAAGAUUAUAUGCUCCUUUAUUUUAGCUAAGAAAUUUCAUAUAUUAGCCGAUUUAUAAGCUAUAGGAUUUUGAAAAUCCUAUAAUUAGCUAUAUGAGAGCUCGGGGAAGUUAUGACCCGUUUUUAACCAUUUCUGAUACAGAGACAUACUAUUAGAAGCAAAAGAUUUCCUCUGAACUAAAUUAAGAUAUCUGACAGAUUUACCGAUAUUUUCGGUGAAAAAUUACCAUAAGGCGCUGAGUUCUUCAAAUUCGAUAUCCGGGGCCUUGAAAAGUAAUAGUCCGAUUUCGACAAUUUUUUCACAAGUGAUGCCACAGAUCAUAUACAGUAUUUACAUAUGUAAACUUUUAUUUCGCUAUCUUCAUUGGUUCCUAAUGUAUAUCUUAUAAAGUGAAGGAAUCAGAUGGAAUUCAAAAGUGAGUUAUAUGGGAAGUUGGUGUCAAGAAAUAAGUGUGCUAAGUUUAAUCAAGAUAUCCUAAUUUUUACUCAAGUUACAGCUUGCACAGACGGACGGACGAACGGACAGACAGACAUUCGGAUUUGAACUCCACUCUUCACCCUGAUCACUUUGGUAUAUAUAACCCUAAAUCUAACUCGUUAAGUUUUGGGUGUUACAAACAACCGUCAUGUGAACAAAACUAUAAUACUAUCUUAGCAACUUUGUUGCGAGAGUAUAAAAAUGAAAGUGGUAAAUUUUGAGGUAAAUUAAUAACUUUUUGUGUUUUCUAGUUUGCAGUAGAAUAAGUUGCACAAGUGAUUUCAAAAAUAUGUUCCACCCUAAUGUACAUGUCUGUUUCAUUUCUUUUAUAAAUAUACAAAUUAAGCCGCAUUUUAAGUCACUCGAUUUAAAACACCUGUAUGGAAUCAAAAAAUAUAAAUAAAUUAAAUAAAUAAACAAUAGUCAGGUAGCGGGCUGAGUAGCUAGUUAGUUCAACUUGAGAAUACCAUUUAAAUGUAAGUCACGCAUCGAGGUCUGGG
Zeugodacus cucurbitae (melon fly) is the source of this 3211-nucleotide long non-coding RNA. RefSeq lists it as uncharacterized. The record is from RefSeq and is a predicted model, not a curated record. The transcript is spliced from 3 exons. NCBI's taxonomy places the organism in Eukaryota, Metazoa, Arthropoda, Insecta, Diptera, Tephritidae.